CUACGGAGGGUGCAAGCGUUACUCGGAAUCACUGGGCGUAAAGCGCGCGCAGGCGGUCUUUUAAGUUGGAUGUGAAAGCCUACGGCUCAACCGUAGAACUGCAUCCAAAACUAUUAGACUAGAGUGUGGGAGAGGAAGAUGGAAUUAGUUGUGUAGGGGUAAAAUCCGUAGAGAUAACUAGGAAUACCAAAAGCGAAGGCAAUCUUCUGGAACACUACUGACGCUGAGGCGCGAAAGCGUGGGGUGCAAACAGGAUUAGAAACCCUAGUAGUCC
Molecule: ribosomal RNA, 274 nt
Filed under: uncultured bacterium
Lineage: Bacteria
Description: partial 16S ribosomal RNA
Rfam family: Bacterial small subunit ribosomal RNA
Source: RNAcentral